This 469-nucleotide ribosomal RNA is filed under the name uncultured bacterium. RNAcentral's name for it is "partial 16S ribosomal RNA". It matches the Rfam family "Bacterial small subunit ribosomal RNA", at positions 28 to 507 of the family's 1533-position model. The record is from RNAcentral.
GACGAACGCUGGCGGCGUGCUUAACGCAUGCAAGUCGAACGGAAAGGCCCUGCUUGCAGGGUGCUCGAGUGGCGAACGGGUGAGUAACACGUGGGUGAUCUGCCCCUUAUUUUGGGAUAAGCCUGGGAAACUGGGUCUAAUACUGGAUAGGACCAUGCUGUAGGUGGUGUGGUGGAAAGAUUAGUUUCGGUAAGGGAUGAGCUCGCGGCCUAUCAGCUUGUUGGUGGGGUAAUGGCCUACCAAGGCGUCGACGGGUAGCCGGCCUGAGAGGGUGGACGGCCACAUUGGGACUGAGAUACGGCCCAGACUCCUACGGGAGGCAGCAGUGGGGAAUAUUGCACAAUGGGCGCAAGCCUGAUGCAGCGACGGCGCGUGGGGGAUGACGGCCUUCGGGUUGUAAACUCCUUUCAGCCAUGACGAAGCCCUUGUGGUGACGGUAGUGGUAGAAGAAGCACCGGCUAACUACGUG